This is a long non-coding RNA of Panthera uncia (snow leopard), 715 nucleotides long. RefSeq lists it as uncharacterized. The transcript has 4 exons. The record is from RefSeq and is a predicted model, not a curated record. Lineage: Eukaryota; Metazoa; Chordata; Mammalia; Carnivora; Felidae.
GCAUCUUCCCUCUACCUCUAUACUCCAAAUUCCUGGCUGGCACUGGAAUUACAUCCUUAGCAUGGACAUCAUAGCCUCCAGGUGAGAUUCAGGUUUGUUUCCGGGAAGAAACCCUAACAGAAAUUCAGAAGCACGGGAGCUGCAUUCAAUUAGGACGUGGAUACAUGAAAUGCUCAUCUCAGGACCUUCUAGAAGAAUGAGCUGGGACCCAUGUUCCAAGUCCUGCUGGAACCAGAGACCGAGUCUAUGCAAGUCAGAAUCAACCUCCAUCCACCUCCAUCCUUUAUGAGACCUAAGACGUGAUGCAGCUCCCUCCCAUGAGAAACAUCAUUUGUGUCUCUACCAAGGAUGCAGAGAAAGACAAGGUCCUGCUUUACAAAGAAGGAAAAUAUAAGUAUGAGAAUGUGUAUAUUCAGGCAUCUACACCUAAGAUCUGAGGUAGACACACAAAUGCAGCCACACAAAUAUGUGCUCAUCCAAGGCCACAGAUGUAUUGUAGAAGACAAAAUGCAUACAAGAGAACAGAAGAUCCCUUUGCAAUGACUCAAAAUCACUUUGACGUAGAGGACAAUCCGUUUGAAAUUUGAAGAGGACGAUGAACCAUUACAAACCAGCUGUGGUUAUUAUAUAUUUAGAGACGGUGUCUAAUCUGUCCCUUGGUCUGAAUGCUUUCCCUGACCACCCUGUCCACUCCACUUUGUCCUUCCUAAUGUCC